CUAGAUUGACGCUGGCGGCAUGCCUAACACAUGCAAGUCGAACGAGAAAGUUCCUUCGGGAGCGAGUACAGUGGCGGACGGGUGAGUAAUGCAUGGGAAUCUGCCCAGUAGUGAGGAAUAACCCGGGGAAACUCGGGCUAAUACCGCAUACGUCCUACGGGAGAAAGCGGGGGAUCUUCGGACCCCGCGCUACUGGAUGAGCCCAUGUCAGAUUAGCUUGUUGGUGGGGUAACGGCCUACCAAGGCAACGACCUGUAGCUGGUCUGAGAGGACGAUCAGCCACACUGGGACUGAGACACGGCCCAGACUCCUACGGGAGGCAGCAGUGGGGAAUAUUGGACAAUGGGCGAAAGCCUGAUCCAGCAAUGCCGCGUGUGUGAAGAAGGCCUGCGGGUUGUAAAGCACUUUCAUCAGGGACGAAAAUCCCGGGGCGAAUACCCCCGGGCCUUGACUUAACCUGAACAAGAAGCACCGGCUAACUCCGUGCCAGCAGCCGCGGUAAUACGGAGGGUGCGAGCGUUAAUCGGAAUUACUGGGCGUAAAGCGCACGUAGGAGGCUGAAUCAGUCAGAUGUGAAAUCCCCGGGCUCAACCUGGGAAUUGCAUUUGAUACUGUUCGGCUAGAGUCUGGCAGAGGUAAGCGGAAUUCCGGGUGUAGCGGUGGAAUGCGUAGAUAUCCGGAAGAACACCAGUGGCGAAGGCGGCUUACUGGGCCAAGACUGACUCUGAGGUGCGAAAGCGUGGGGAGCGAACAGGAUUAGAUACCCUGGUAGUCCACGCCGUAAACGAUGUCAACUAGCCGUUGGAUCCGUUUGAGGAUCAAGUGGUGAAGCUAACGCGAUAAGUUGACCGCCUGG
RNAcentral lists this ribosomal RNA (856 nucleotides) under uncultured bacterium. Its description in RNAcentral is "bacterial SSU rRNA". It matches the Rfam family "Bacterial small subunit ribosomal RNA", at positions 24 to 876 of the family's 1533-position model. The record is from RNAcentral.